GGACAGUCAUCGCCGAGUCCCCGUACGGCGCGAGCCAGGGGAGCCGGGGACCCACAUGAAGUCCCUGGGGUGAAUCGGGCGCCCGCGCGUGUCGCGAGGGGGCCCGUAGGAGACCUUCCUGCUCCGAACCCGUCAGCUAACCCGGUAGGCGAGAGGGAAGGAAAGG
RNAcentral lists this small RNA (166 nucleotides) under Streptomyces gancidicus BKS 13-15. RNAcentral describes it as "c-di-AMP riboswitch aptamer (ydaO/yuaA leader)". It matches the Rfam family "c-di-AMP riboswitch aptamer (ydaO/yuaA leader)". Rfam says of the family: This family represents a conserved RNA structure found upstream of the ydaO and yuaA genes in Bacillus subtilis and related genes in other bacteria. The record is from Rfam by way of RNAcentral. Lineage: Bacteria; Bacillati; Actinomycetota; Actinomycetes; Kitasatosporales; Streptomycetaceae.